AUACGGAGGGGGCUAGCGUUGUUCGGAAUUACUGGGCGUAAAGCGCGCGUAGGCGGCUAAGUAAGUCGGAUGUGAAAGCCCUGGGCUCAACCUGGGAAUUGCAUUCGAUACUGCUUGACUAGAGUAUGGUAGAGGGAAGUGGAAUUUCCGGUGUAGCGGUGAAAUGCGUAGAUAUCGGAAGGAACACCAGUGGCGAAGGCGACUUCCUGGGCCAAUACUGACGCUGAGGUGCGAAAGCGUGGGGAGCAAACAGGAUUAGAAACCCGGGUAGUCC
This 274-nucleotide ribosomal RNA is filed under the name uncultured bacterium. Its description in RNAcentral is "partial 16S ribosomal RNA". It matches the Rfam family "Bacterial small subunit ribosomal RNA", at positions 523 to 796 of the family's 1533-position model. The record is from RNAcentral.